GAGUUUGAUCUUGGCUCAGGGUUAACGCUGGCGGUGCGCAUAACACAUGCAAGUCGAGCGAGGGCUUAUUUCUCGCAAGAGAGAUGAGUUCCUAGCGGCGAACGGGUGAGUAACACGUGGGCAACCUUUCCUAUCGCGGGGGAUAACACCGGGAAACCGAUGCUAAUACCGCAUGUCGUCACUGAUCGCAUGGUUGGUGAAGAAAGCAGCAAUGCACGAUGGGGUGGGCCCGCGGCCUAUCAGCUAGUCGGUGGGGUAACGGCCUACCGAGGCGAUGACGGGUAGCUGGUCUGAGAGGACGGCCAGCCACACGGGGGACUGAGACACGGCCCCGACUCCUACGGGAGGCAGCAGUGAGGAAUCUUCCGCAAUGGGCGAAAGCCUGACGGAGCGACACCGCGUGUGGGAUGAAGUCUUUCGGGAUGUAAACCACUGUCGGAGGGGAAGACAAAAAAGACGGUACCCUCCAAGAAAGACCCGGCUAACUACGUGCCA
This 495-nucleotide ribosomal RNA is filed under the name uncultured bacterium. RNAcentral's name for it is "bacterial SSU rRNA". It matches the Rfam family "Bacterial small subunit ribosomal RNA", at positions 9 to 510 of the family's 1533-position model. The record is from RNAcentral.